This 483-nucleotide ribosomal RNA is filed under the name uncultured bacterium. RNAcentral describes it as "partial 16S ribosomal RNA". It matches the Rfam family "Bacterial small subunit ribosomal RNA", at positions 30 to 506 of the family's 1533-position model. The record is from RNAcentral.
AUUGAACGCUGGCGGCAGGCCUAACACAUGCAAGUCGAGCGGAUGAAGGGAGCUUGCUCCUGGAUUCAGCGGCGGACGGGUGAGUAAUGCCUAGGAAUCUGCCUGGUAGUGGGGGAUAACGUCCGGAAACGGGCGCUAAUACCGCAUACGUCCUGAGGGAGAAAGUGGGGGAUCUUCGGACCUCACGCUAUCAGAUGAGCCUAGGUCGGAUUAGCUAGUUGGUGGGGUAAAGGCCUACCAAGGCGACGAUCCGUAACUGGUCUGAGAGGAUGAUCAGUCACACUGGAACUGAGACACGGUCCAGACUCCUACGGGAGGCAGCAGUGGGGAAUAUUGGACAAUGGGCGAAAGCCUGAUCCAGCCAUGCCGCGUGUGUGAAGUAGGUCUUCGGAUUGUAAAGCACUUUAAGUUGGGAGGAAGGGCAGUAAGUUAAUACCUUGCUGUUUUGACGUUACCAACAGAAUAAGCACCGGCUAACUUCGU